RNAcentral lists this ribosomal RNA (498 nucleotides) under uncultured bacterium. Its description in RNAcentral is "partial 16S ribosomal RNA". It matches the Rfam family "Bacterial small subunit ribosomal RNA", at positions 30 to 523 of the family's 1533-position model. The record is from RNAcentral.
AUUGAACGCUGGCGGCAUGCCUUACACAUGCAAGUCGAACGGUAACAGGUCUUCGGAUGCUGACGAGUGGCGAACGGGUGAGUAAUACAUCGGAACGUGCCUAGUAGUGGGGGAUAACUACUCGAAAGAGUGGCUAAUACCGCAUGAGAUCUACGGAUGAAAGCAGGGGAUCGCAAGACCUUGUGCUACUAGAGCGGCCGAUGGCAGAUUAGGUAGUUGGUGGGAUAAAAGCUUACCAAGCCGACGAUCUGUAGCUGGUCUGAGAGGACGAUCGGCCACACUGGGACUGAGACACGGCCCGGAAUCCUACGGGAGGCAGCAGUGGGGAAUUUUGGACAAUGGGCGAAAGCCUGAUCCAGCAAUGCCGCGUGCAGGAUGAAGGCCUUCGGGUUGUAAACUGCUUUUGUACGGAACGAAAAGCCCCGGGUUAAUACCCUGGGGUCAUGACGGUACCGUAAGAAUAAGCACCGGCUAACUACGUGCCAGCAGCCGCCGUAA